RNAcentral lists this ribosomal RNA (2901 nucleotides) under Escherichia coli. Its description in RNAcentral is "bacterial LSU rRNA". It matches the Rfam family "Bacterial large subunit ribosomal RNA". The record is from RNAcentral. Lineage: Bacteria; Pseudomonadati; Pseudomonadota; Gammaproteobacteria; Enterobacterales; Enterobacteriaceae.
UUAAGCGACUAAGCGUACACGGUGGAUGCCCUGGCAGUCAGAGGCGAUGAAGGACGUGCUAAUCUGCGAUAAGCGUCGGUAAGGUGAUAUGAACCGUUAUAACCGGCGAUUUCCGAAUGGGGAAACCCAGUGUGAUUCGUCACACUAUCAUUAACUGAAUCCAUAGGUUAAUGAGGCGAACCGGGGGAACUGAAACAUCUAAGUACCCCGAGGAAAAGAAAUCAACCGAGAUUCCCCCAGUAGCGGCGAGCGAACGGGGAGGAGCCCAGAGCCUGAAUCAGUGUGUGUGUUAGUGGAAGCGUCUGGAAAGGCGCGCGAUACAGGGUGACAGCCCCGUACACAAAAAUGCACAUGCUGUGAGCUCGAUGAGUAGGGCGGGACACGUGGUAUCCUGUCUGAAUAUGGGGGGACCAUCCUCCAAGGCUAAAUACUCCUGACUGACCGAUAGUGAACCAGUACCGUGAGGGAAAGGCGAAAAGAACCCCGCGAGGGGAGUGAAAAAGAACCUGAAACCGUGUACGUACAAGCAGUGGGAGCACGCUUAGGCGUGUGACUGCGUACCUUUUGUAUAAUGGGUCAGCGACUUAUAUUCUGUAGCAAGGUUAACCGAAUAGGGGAGCCGAAGGGAAACCGAGUCUUAACUGGGCGUUAAGUUGCAGGGUAUAGACCCGAAACCCGGUGAUCUAGCCAUGGGCAGGUUGAAGGUUGGGUAACACUAACUGGAGGACCGAACCGACUAAUGUUGAAAAAUUAGCGGAUGACUUGUGGCUGGGGGUGAAAGGCCAAUCAAACCGGGAGAUAGCUGGUUCUCCCCGAAAGCUAUUUAGGUAGCGCCUCGUGAAUUCAUCUCCGGGGGUAGAGCACUGUUUCGGCAAGGGGGUCAUCCCGACUUACCAACCCGAUGCAAACUGCGAAUACCGGAGAAUGUUAUCACGGGAGACACACGGCGGGUGCUAACGUCCGUCGUGAAGAGGGAAACAACCCAGACCGCCAGCUAAGGUCCCAAAGUCAUGGUUAAGUGGGAAACGAUGUGGGAAGGCCCAGACAGCCAGGAUGUUGGCUUAGAAGCAGCCAUCAUUUAAAGAAAGCGUAAUAGCUCACUGGUCGAGUCGGCCUGCGCGGAAGAUGUAACGGGGCUAAACCAUGCACCGAAGCUGCGGCAGCGACGCUUAUGCGUUGUUGGGUAGGGGAGCGUUCUGUAAGCCUGCGAAGGUGUGCUGUGAGGCAUGCUGGAGGUAUCAGAAGUGCGAAUGCUGACAUAAGUAACGAUAAAGCGGGUGAAAAGCCCGCUCGCCGGAAGACCAAGGGUUCCUGUCCAACGUUAAUCGGGGCAGGGUGAGUCGACCCCUAAGGCGAGGCCGAAAGGCGUAGUCGAUGGGAAACAGGUUAAUAUUCCUGUACUUGGUGUUACUGCGAAGGGGGGACGGAGAAGGCUAUGUUGGCCGGGCGACGGUUGUCCCGGUUUAAGCGUGUAGGCUGGUUUUCCAGGCAAAUCCGGAAAAUCAAGGCUGAGGCGUGAUGACGAGGCACUACGGUGCUGAAGCAACAAAUGCCAUGCUUCCAGGAAAAGCCUCUAAGCAUCAGGUAACAUCAAAUCGUACCCCAAACCGACACAGGUGGUCAGGUAGAGAAUACCAAGGCGCUUGAGAGAACUCGGGUGAAGGAACUAGGCAAAAUGGUGCCGUAACUUCGGGAGAAGGCACGCUGAUAUGUAGGUGAAGCGACUUGCUCGUGGAGCUGAAAUCAGUCGAAGAUACCAGCUGGCUGCAACUGUUUAUUAAAAACACAGCACUGUGCAAACACGAAAGUGGACGUAUACGGUGUGACGCCUGCCCGGUGCCGGAAGGUUAAUUGAUGGGGUCAGCGCAAGCGAAGCUCUUGAUCGAAGCCCCGGUAAACGGCGGCCGUAACUAUAACGGUCCUAAGGUAGCGAAAUUCCUUGUCGGGUAAGUUCCGACCUGCACGAAUGGCGUAAUGAUGGCCAGGCUGUCUCCACCCGAGACUCAGUGAAAUUGAACUCGCUGUGAAGAUGCAGUGUACCCGCGGCAAGACGGAAAGACCCCGUGAACCUUUACUAUAGCUUGACACUGAACAUUGAGCCUUGAUGUGUAGGAUAGGUGGGAGGCUUUGAAGUGUGGACGCCAGUCUGCAUGGAGCCGACCUUGAAAUACCACCCUUUAAUGUUUGAUGUUCUAACGUUGACCCGUAAUCCGGGUUGCGGACAGUGUCUGGUGGGUAGUUUGACUGGGGCGGUCUCCUCCUAAAGAGUAACGGAGGAGCACGAAGGUUGGCUAAUCCUGGUCGGACAUCAGGAGGUUAGUGCAAUGGCAUAAGCCAGCUUGACUGCGAGCGUGACGGCGCGAGCAGGUGCGAAAGCAGGUCAUAGUGAUCCGGUGGUUCUGAAUGGAAGGGCCAUCGCUCAACGGAUAAAAGGUACUCCGGGGAUAACAGGCUGAUACCGCCCAAGAGUUCAUAUCGACGGCGGUGUUUGGCACCUCGAUGUCGGCUCAUCACAUCCUGGGGCUGAAGUAGGUCCCAAGGGUAUGGCUGUUCGCCAUUUAAAGUGGUACGCGAGCUGGGUUUAGAACGUCGUGAGACAGUUCGGUCCCUAUCUGCCGUGGGCGCUGGAGAACUGAGGGGGGCUGCUCCUAGUACGAGAGGACCGGAGUGGACGCAUCACUGGUGUUCGGGUUGUCAUGCCAAUGGCACUGCCCGGUAGCUAAAUGCGGAAGAGAUAAGUGCUGAAAGCAUCUAAGCACGAAACUUGCCCCGAGAUGAGUUCUCCCUGACUCCUUGAGAGUCCUGAAGGAACGUUGAAGACGACGACGUUGAUAGGCCGGGUGUGUAAGCGCAGUGAUGCGUUGAGCUAACCGGUACUAAUGAACCGUGAGGCUUAACCUU